This 272-nucleotide ribosomal RNA is filed under the name uncultured bacterium. Its description in RNAcentral is "partial 16S ribosomal RNA". It matches the Rfam family "Bacterial small subunit ribosomal RNA", at positions 180 to 452 of the family's 1533-position model. The record is from RNAcentral.
UAUUACCGCGGCUGCUGGUGGGGAAAGUGGCAACACACCUAGGGAUGGGCCUGCGGCCUAUCAGGUAGUUGGUGGGGUAAGAGCCCACCAAGCCGAAGACCUGUAGCCGGGCUGAGUCGUUGAACGGUCACACCGGAACUGAGACACGCUCCGGGCUCCUACGGGAGGCAGCAGUGGGGAAUCUUGCGCAAUGGGGGAAACCCUGACGCAGCGACGCCGCGUGGAGGAUGAAGGUCUUCGGGUUGUAAACUCCUUUUCUUAGGGAAAAUGAU